This is a long non-coding RNA of Alligator mississippiensis (American alligator), 627 nucleotides long. RefSeq lists it as uncharacterized. The record is from RefSeq and is a predicted model, not a curated record. The transcript has 3 exons. NCBI's taxonomy places the organism in Eukaryota, Metazoa, Chordata, Crocodylia, Alligatoridae.
CUUGCCUACGCCACCAGCUCCAACAACGACAAGCUUAUAUUCUGUCAUUUUUAGCAGCCCUGGUAAGGAGAAAAAAAGAAAUCAAGUGGUGAUAUCAAGGAAUAUUGGCUGCAAGAUCUGGGUCUUGACUGGCAAACAGCAUGCAGGCAGGAAGUGAAGAGACACAAAGAGUCUGAACCUACCCUGUAAAGCCCUGGCUCAUGAAGCCUUAUGGAGGGAGUGUUACUGACCUGCAGAAGCUGGCUUUCAACUACCGCCUCAGCAGUUACAGGAUGGCCGUGAAAUGUGCAUUUGGCUGACUGAAAGGACGAUGGAGGGCGCUUACAUGCCAGCUCAAGAUGGAUCAAUAAAAUCUACUGGCCUUUAUUGUGGUAGCCUGCUUGUUGCACAAUAUCUGACAGCCGUGGAGAGGUUUUCAAGGACUCGUGGGAAGAAGAAGCGCAACAGGCAGUGGCCAGACAAUAGAGUUGUGGGGCAGCAGCAGUACAGGGACCAAGGAGAUAUCCUCAAGGAGAGGCUGGUCGGACGGACCUUGCGUGUGAUUAUCUGGCAAGAUAUAUUGCUGACAACAACCCCUAGGAGUGCUUUGUUCUAACAUAAAAAUACAUUCUUUUUUUACACUUUAAA